This is a non-coding RNA of Xyrichtys novacula (pearly razorfish), 5002 nucleotides long. The record is from the annotation of a GenBank genome assembly. Lineage: Eukaryota; Metazoa; Chordata; Actinopteri; Labriformes; Labridae.
GCUUUAGGGUUAGGGUUGGAGCUAGGGUUAGGGUUAGGGUUGCAGCUAGGGUUAGGGUUAGGGUUGCAGCUAGGGUUAGGGUUAGGGUUGGAGCUAGGUUUAGGGUUAGGGUUGAGGCUGGGGUUGGGGUUAGGGUUAGGGUUGCAGCUAGGGUUAGGGUUAGGGUUGGAGCUAGGGUUAGGGUUAGGGUUGGAGUUAGGGUUAGGGUUAAAGCUAGGGUUAGGGUUAGGGUUAGGGUUGAGGCUAGGGUUAGGGUUAGGGUUAGGGUUGCAGCUAGGGUUAGGGUUAGGGUUAGGGUUGCAGCUAGGGUUAGGGUUAUGGUUAUGGUUGGAGCUAGGGUUAGGGUUAGGGUUGGAGUUUGGGCUAGGGUUAGGGUUGCAGCUAGGGUUAGGGUUAGGUUUAGGGUUGAGGGUAGGGUUAGGGUUGCAGCUAGGGUUAGGGUUGGGGUUGAGGCAAGGAUUAGGGUUAGGGUUGGAGCUAGGGUUAGGGUUAUGGUAUGAGCUAGGGUUAGGGUUGGAGUUAUGGUUCGAGUCGGAGCUAGGGUUAGGGUUAGGGUUAGGGUUGCAGCUAGGUAGGGUUAGGGUUAGGGUUGGAGCUAGGGUUAGGGUUAGGGUUGCAGCUAGGGUUACGGUUAGGGUUAGGUUUGCAGCUAGGGUUAGGGUUAGGUUUAGGGUUUGAGCUAGGGUUAGGGUUAGGGUUGGAGUUAGGGUUAGGGUUAGGGUCGGAGCUAGGGUUAGGGUUAGGGUUGGAGUUAGGGUUAGGGUUAGGGUUGGUGCUAGGGUAAGGGUUAGGGUUAGGGUUGCAGCUAGGGUUAGGGUUAGGGUUAGUGUUGCAGCUAGGGUUAGGGUUAGGGUUGGAGCUAGGGUUAGGGUUAGGGUUUGGGUUGCAGCUAGGGUUAGGGUAAUGGUUAUGGUUGGAGCUAGGGUUAGGGUUAGUGUUGCAGCUAGGGUUAGGGUUAGGGUUGAAGCUAGAGUUAGGGUUAGGGUUGGAGCUACGGUUAGGGUUAGGGUUGGAGCUAGGGUUAGGGUUAGGGUUAGGGUGCGAGCUAGGUUUAGGGUCAGGGUUAGGGGUUAGGGUUAGGGUUAGGUUUAGUGUUGAGGGUAGGGUGAGGGUUGCAGCUAGGGUUAGGGUUGGGGUUGAGGAAAGGGUUAGGGUUAGGGUUGGAGCUAGGGUUAAGGUUAUGGUUGGAGCUAGGGUUAGGGUUGGAGUUAUGGUUCGAGUUGGAGCUAGGGUUAGGGUUAGGGUUAGGUUUGCAGCUAGGUAGGGUUAGGGUUGGAGCUAGGGUUAGGGUUAGGGUUGCAGCUAGGGUUAGGGUUAGGGUUAGGUUUGCAGCUAGGGUUAGGGUUAGGGUUAUGGUUUGAGCUAGGGUUAGGGUUAGGGUUGGAGUUAGGGUUAGGGUUAGGGUCGGAGCUAGGGUUAGGGUAAGGGUUGGAGUCAGGGUUAGGGUUAGGGUUGGUGCUAGGGUAAGGGUUAGGGUUAGGGUUGCAGCUAGGGUUAGGGUUAGGGUUAGUGUUGCAGCUAGGGUUAGGGUUAGGGUUGGAGCUAGGGUUAGGGUUAGGGUUUGGGUUGCAGCUAGGGUUAGGGUUAGGGUUAUGGUUGGAGCUAGGGUUAGGGUUAGUGUUGCAGCUAGGGUUAGGGUUAGGGUUGGAGCUAGGUUUAGGGUUAGGGUUGUAGCUACGGUUGGGGUUAGGGUUGGAGCUAGGGUUAGGGUUAGGGUUAGGGUUGGAGCUAGGGCUAGGGUUAGGGUUAGGGUUGCAGCUAGGGUUGGCGCUAGGGUUAGGGUUAGGGUUCGAGCUAGGGUUAGGGUUAGGGUUAGGGUUGCAGCUAGGGUUAGGGUUAUGGUUGGAGCUAGGGUUAGGGUUUAAGCUAGGGUUAGGGGUAGGGUUAGUGUUGCAGCUAGGGUUAGGGUUAGGGUUGGAGCUAGGGUUAGGGUUAGGGUUAGGGUUGCAGCUAGGGUUAGGGUUAGGGUUGGAGCUAGGGUUAGGGUUAGGGUUGCAGCUAGGGUUAGGGUUAGGGUUAGGGUUAAGGUUGGAGCUAGGGUUAGGGUUGGAGCUAGGGUUAGGGUUAGGGUUAGGGUUGGAGCUAGGGUUAGGGUUAGGGUUGCAGCUAGGGUUAGGGUUAGGGUUGGAGUUAGGGUUAGGGUUGGAGCUAGGGUUAGGGUUAGGGUUAGGGUUUGAGCUAGGGUUAGGGUUAGGGUUGGAGCUAGGGUUAGGGUUAGGGUUAGGGUUGCAGCUAGGGUUAGGGUUAGGGUUAGGGUUGCAGCUAGGGUUAAGGUUAGGGUUAGGGUUGCAGCUAGGGUUAGGGUUGCAGCUAGGGUUAGGGUUAGGGUUAUGGUUGGAGCUAGGGUUACGGUUGCAGCUAGGGUUAGGGUUAGGGUUAGGGUUAUGGUUGGAGCAAGGGUUAGGGUUAGGGUUGGAGCUAGGGUUAGGGUUAGGGUUAGGGUUGCAGCUAGGGUUAGGGUUAGGGUUAGGGUUGGAGCUAGGGUUAGGGUUAGGGUUGCAGCUAGGGUUAGGGUUAGGGUUAGGGUUGGAGCUAGGGUUAGGGUUAGGGUUGGAGCUAGGGUUAGGGUUAGGGUUGGAGCUACGGUUAGGGUUAGGGUUGGAGUUAGGGUUAGGGUUAGGGUUAGGGCUGGAGCUAGGGUUAGGGUUAGGGUUAGGGUUGCAGCUAGGGUUAGGGAUAGGGUUAGGGUUAAGGUUGGAGCUAGGAUUAGGGUUGUAGCUAGGGUUAGGGUUAGGGUUAGGGUUAGGUUUAGGGUUGGAGCCAUGGUUAGGGUUAGGGUUAGGGUUGCAGCUAGGGUUGGCGCUAGGGUUAGGGUUAGGGUUCGAGCUAGGGUUAGGGUUAGGGUAAGGGUUGCAGCUAGGGUUAGGGUUAGGGUUAUGGUUGGAGCUAGGGUUAGGGUUUGAGCUAGGGUUAGGGUUAGGGUUAGUGUUGCAGCUAGGGUUAGGGUUAGGGUUAAGGUUGGAGCUAGGGUUAGGGUUAUGGAUAGGGUUGCAGCUAGGGUUAGGGUUAGGGUUAGGGUUGGAGCUAGGGUUAGGGUUAGGGUUAGGGUUGCAGCUAGGGUUAGGGUUAGGGUUAGGGUUAAGGUUGGAGCUAGGGUUAGGGUUGUAGCUAGGGUUAGGGUUGGAGCUAGGGUUAGGGUUAGGGUUGCAGCUAGGGUUAGGGUUAGGGUUGGAGUUAGGGUUAGGGUUGGAGCUAGGGUUAGGGUUAGGGUUAGGGUUUGAGCUAGGGUUAGGGUUAGGGUUGGAGCUAGGGUUAGGUUUAGGGUUAGGUUGCAGCUAGGGUUAGGGUUAGGGUUAGGGUUGCAGCUAGGGUUAAGGUUAGGGUUACGGUUGCAGCUAGGGUUAGGGUUAGGGUUGGAGCUAGGGUUAGGGUUAGGGUUGGAGCUACGGUUAGGGUUAGGGUUGGAGCUAGGGUUAGGGUUAGGGUUAGGGUUGGAGCUAGGGUUAGGGUUAGGGUUAGGGUUGCAGCUAGGGUUAGGGUUAGGGUUAGGGUUAGGGUUAGGGUUUGAGCUAGGGUUAGGGUUGGAGCUAGGGUUAGGGUUAGGGUUGGAGCUACGGUUAGGGUUAGGGUUGGAGCUAGGGUUAGGGUUAGGGUUAGGGUUGGAGCUAGGGUUAGGGUUAGGGUUGCAGCUAGGGUUAGGGUUAGGGUUAGUGUUGGAGUUAGGGUUAGGGUUAGGGUUGCAGCUAGGGUUAGGGUUAGGGUUAGGGUUGGAGCUAGGGUUAGGGUUAGGGUUAGGGUUGCAGCUAGGGUUAGGGUUAGGGUUAGGGUUGGAGCUAGGGUUAGGGUUAGUGUUGCAGCUAGGGUUAGGGUUAGGGUUGGAGCUAGGUUUAGGGUUAGGGUUGUAGCUACGGUUGGGGUUAGGGUUGGAGCUAGGGUUAGGGUUAGGGUUAGGGUUGGAGCUAGGGUUAGGGUUAGGGUUGCAGCUAGGGUUGGCGCUAGGGUUAGGGUUAGGGUUCGAGCUAGGGUUAGGGUUAGGGUUAGGGUUGCAGCUAGGGUUAGGGUUAUGGUUGGAGCUAGGGUUAGGGUUUAAGCUAGGGUUAGGGUUAGGGUUAGUGUUGCAGUUAGGGUUGGAGCUAGGGUUAGGGUUAGGGUUGCAGCUAGGGUUAGGGUUAUGGUUGGAGUUAGGGUUAGGGUUAGGGUUGCAGCUAGGGUUAGGGUUAGGGUUAGGGUUAAGGUUGGAGCUAGGGUUAGGGUUGUAGCUAGGGUUAGGGUUAGGGUUAGGGUUGGAGCUAGGGUUAGGAUUAGGGUUGCAGCUAGGGUUAGGGUUAGGGUUGGAGUUAGGGUUAGGGUUGGAGCUAGGGUUAGGGUUAGUGUUAGGGUUUGAGCUAGGGUUACGGUUAGGGUUGGAGCUAGGGUUAGGGUUAGGGUUAGGGUUGCAGCUAGGGUUAGGGUUAGGGUUAGGGUUGCAGCUAGGGUUAAGGUUAGGGUUAGGGUUGCAGCUAGGGUUAGGGUUGCAGCUAGGGUUAGGGUUAGGGUUAUGGUUGGAGCAAGGGUUAGGGUUAGGGUUGGAGCUAGGGUUAGGGUUAGGGUUAGGGUUGCAGCUAGGGUUAGGGUUAGGGUUAGGGUUGGAGCUAGGGUUAGGGUUAGGGUUGCAGCUAGGGUUAGGGUUAGGGUUAGGGUUGGAGCUAGGGUUAGGGUUAGGGUUGGAGCUAGGGUUAGGGUUAGGGUUGGAGCUACGGUUAGGGUUAGGGUUGGAGCUAGGGUUAGGGUUAGGGUUGGAGCUAGGGUUAGGGUUAGGGUUAGGGUUGCAGCUAGGGUUAGGGAUAGGGUUAGGGUUAAGGUUGGAGCUAGGGUUAGGGUUGUAGCUAGGGUUAGGGUUAGGGUUAGGGUUAGGUUUAGGGUUGGAGCUAGGGUUAGGGUUAGGGUUAGGGUUAGGGUUGCAGCUAGGGUUGGCGCUAGGGUUAGGGUUAGGGUUCGAGCUAGGGUUAGGGUUAGGGUAAGGGUUGCAGCUAGGGUUAGGGUUAGGGUUAUGGUUGGAGCUAGGGGUAGGGUUUGAGCUAGG